UACGUAGGGCGCAAGCGUUGUCCGGAAUUAUUGGGCGUAAAGAGCUCGUAGGCGGCUUGUCGCGUCGAUUGUGAAAGCCCGGGGCUUAACCUCGGGUCUGCAGUCGAUACGGGCUGGCUAGAGUGUGGUAGGGGAGAUCGGAAUUCCUGGUGUAGCGGUGAAAUGCGCAGAUAUCAGGAGGAACACCGGUGGCGAAGGCGGAUCUCUGGGCAUCUCCUGACGCUGAGGCGCGAAAGCGUGGGGAGCAAACGGG
This 253-nucleotide ribosomal RNA is filed under the name uncultured bacterium. RNAcentral's name for it is "partial 16S ribosomal RNA". It matches the Rfam family "Bacterial small subunit ribosomal RNA", at positions 524 to 776 of the family's 1533-position model. The record is from RNAcentral.